UUUAUCAGCUGAAAGGAGACAACCUUCUUCGUCCUUUUCUAGAUCCUCUUCUUCAAGACCUUCGACACCUUCAUCCCUUUCAAAACCUUCUUCAACACCUUCGUCUCAUUCAAGACCUUCGACACCUUCGUCUCAUUCAAGACCUUCGACACCUUUAUCCCAUUCAAGACCUUCCACCCCAGCGCGUGAUUCAGUGUUAGAAGGACACGGUAUCUCUUCUUCAAGACGGUCGGUUGGUGUUCGAACAAUGAUGGAUGGUCUGUGGCCGUCAACGCGCAAUGUUACAACCUCGUCCAACUCAAGAUCUACGCAUAUCACUACCUGCGAAAAGGAGAAGUCAGUUGCAUCAUUAGAUCAAGCAUCGAAGUCUUCAUCUGAGAGCAUGAAGACCCCUCUCAGACGGAGGAAUGCACCCAACGCCAACCAGUCUGAGAAUUCAAAACCAAUAAGAAAUUCAGAUAAACAAGGUUCCCCAUCAUAUACCAACAACUGGAUUUCCAUGAUGAGUUCAAGGUCAUCGUCUCCUGCAGCCAUGACAAGAAGCUUAGAUCUCACAGAUAAGAUAAC
RNAcentral lists this long non-coding RNA (567 nucleotides) under Zostera marina. Its description in RNAcentral is "long non-coding RNA (ZMAR_LNC000654)". The record is from RNAcentral. Lineage: Eukaryota; Viridiplantae; Streptophyta; Magnoliopsida; Alismatales; Zosteraceae.